UCCUCAGCAAGUCCCCGCUGGCCGUUUCGUCGUGUCGAUUGCUGCAGCAGACCAAAUAUUCGCAAGCAGUGGAUCAUCAGUUUGUGGGUUGCGUCGCUGCAUCUGUUCCACUGCUGCCGCUGCUUUGUUUUCGACCACUACGCUCUGGGUUGCAAUCCGUUUCUACAUUUCGUGAGUCCUUUUAAGUGUUUUUCUCUUCUUGGGUUUAUCCUUGGCGGCCGUCUGUGCCACCACGCCGUUACGGAGGACGCCCUCCUUGCGGUUAAAUCCAUUGGGGGUUUCCUCGUCGCCCUGGGUGAGGCAGGAUUGGUGAUGGUGCAAGCUGGAACUGUGCCCUCGCCACCAGCUGCGGAUGAGACAUGGAGGAGCGUUGCGGUGACUGGGUGGAGAUUUCAGUGCACUGCGUGAUAUUAAGAGAUCAGUAGAAGGGCGUCACGCACAGCUUCUGGGUUCCAGAGAUGCGAAACGUCGGAAACGGACGUCCUCAUUGUAUGCACGCUGGAGCAUGAGGCGGGUGAAACUGGCAAAUUAAAACUCCACUUAAUGUGGUUGGUCUUCCUGAGGUGAAAAAAGGAACAUAAUCCUGAUCUUAUAAUUAACAAAUACCCUCGGUUACAGAAUCGGUAUGUUCGUCGAACUGGAGAAGAGCAACAGGUGAAUUUGCCAUUUUCGUGUAGACCUAGUGGGAACUUUCUCCAUUUACAUCUUUUGAUUUUGAUUCUUUUUUUCUUAUUUGUUUGUGCUUUGGUUUAAAAGUUGUAUAAUCUUCAUAGUGAUUUCUAGCGAUUCCUGCCUUGGGCACUUGCAGGGUUCAUGAUUUUGGAGGUUUACAAUGAGAGAAUGAUAGGUUAAGUAUUUUAAGGACGUAAGACUUGUACGUUGCACUUUUUAUUGUCAAGUUGCGCUUAGUUAUCAUAAUCCCUUAUAAGUUUAGAAAACGUAAAUUAAUUACACAUCUAGAGUAAUUGGAGUAGAUAAUCUCACAGUUUUGACCAUAAUAGUCAUAUCCCGUGAUCUGCAUGGACUGUGAUCAAUAAAAAUCUUUACAUGUAGUUCACACAAUUAUCUGUGCAUCUAACAAUGUUUUCAAUUUUAUAUCUUUAUACUUUUUAUAUGAAAAAUAAAAAUAGAAUAUGUCAACAAAUCAUCACUUAAGUUGGUAUACAUGAAGACAAUGUGCACAUCAUGUUGUAUCAAAUUAGGGUUCUCAAAUCAAUAACAAAGUAAGCAAAAGUACUUAGCCAUAAAUGCAAGUGUUUAGAGUUAUUUUAUCAUUUCAUUGCUCACAUGUAGUUUUUAUAUUUAUUUGGUUCAUUGGUUAGGGUUUGAAUCUUCAAGAAAAAUCAAUGUACUUAUUUUUACUACUUUGAAAGGCAA
Molecule: non-coding RNA, 1377 nt
Organism: Physcomitrium patens
Lineage: Eukaryota; Viridiplantae; Streptophyta; Bryopsida; Funariales; Funariaceae
Source: RefSeq, a predicted model, not a curated record